Molecule: transfer RNA, 42 nt
Filed under: Triparma pacifica
Lineage: Eukaryota; Bolidophyceae; Parmales; Triparmaceae
Description: partial Selenocysteine transfer RNA
Source: RNAcentral
CGUCCACCAAUGGCCCCGACGACCACAACGGCCAACAAGUUG